This 252-nucleotide ribosomal RNA is filed under the name uncultured bacterium. RNAcentral describes it as "partial 16S ribosomal RNA". It matches the Rfam family "Bacterial small subunit ribosomal RNA", at positions 524 to 776 of the family's 1533-position model. The record is from RNAcentral.
UACGGAGGAUGCGAGCGUUAUCCGGAUUUGUUGGGUUUAAAGGGUGCGUAGGCGGACGCUUAAGUCAGCGGUAAAAUUGCGGGGCUCAACCUCGUCGAGCCGUUGAAACUGGGUGUCUUGAGUGGGCGAGAAGUACGCGGAAUGCGUGGUGUAGCGGUGAAAUGCAUAGAUAUCACGCAGAACUCCGAUUGCGAAGGCAGCGUACCGGCGCCCAACUGACGCUGAAGCACGAAGGCGUGGGUAUCGAACAGG